RNAcentral lists this ribosomal RNA (966 nucleotides) under Triticum aestivum (bread wheat). RNAcentral's name for it is "partial small subunit ribosomal RNA". Lineage: Eukaryota; Viridiplantae; Streptophyta; Magnoliopsida; Poales; Poaceae. The record is from RNAcentral.
AUGGCCUCAAGGCGCGCCGCCGAAGCCGCGGCAUCGUCGUGUCUCCUCCGCUCGUUGCUUGCGUCCGCCUCCGCCUCCACCGCCACCCCACCGCGCUUCCGGUCGGCCGCUCGCUCCGCCGCGCGAGACACGCGCCACCUUCUCGACCGGCGCAGUCGACUGCGCGCUGCGUCGCCGCUCCUCGCCCGCAACAACGACACGCCGGCGGCGGCGCUCAUGGCGCGGUGCGCCGUCCGAUCGCUCUCCUCCGACUCCGACCCGAGCACCAAGACCGCCCAAGAUCCCGCACCUUCCAAGACCUCGGAGGAGGAGGACUCCGGAGAGCAGGUCCGUCUCCGGAUCUCGGAGGAGGUGCACCCCACCCAGGUCGGGAAGGACAAGGGCUCGGCUCCGACGGUACAUGGGGACGCCAAGGCGAGGGACGACUACAACAAAGGCGGCGAACCCGAGGACGACGACAAGGCGCCCGACCUCACCAAGUACCUGCAGCUGCAGGCGACGGUAGCCAAGGGCUUCAAUGCCAAGCACGAGGUGGUCGCUCAAGACCCGGAGGCGACGGUGGUCAAGGCGGCCGCGGAGCGCGUUCAAGACCUGGAGCCGACGGUGGUCAAGGCCGACGCGGAGCGCGUUCAAGACCUGAGCCGACCGCGGCCAAGGAGGACGUCGAGGACUCUCAAGACCCCAAGGCGGCGGCCACCGCUCCCGACGGCGCGCCAGAGCACGUCAACCACAAGGGCUCCAACCCCCAGGCGGAGGCGACCGCGGCCAAGGAAGACGUCGAGGCCUCCCAGGGCCCGAAGGCGGCGGCCACCCCUCCCGACGGCGCGCCAGAGCACGUCAACCACAAGGGCUCCAACCCCCAGGCGGAGGCGACCGCGGUCAAGGAAGACGAGGCCUCCCAGGGGCCGAAGGCGGCGGCGACCGCGUUCGUGGCUGCAGCGUUCGUGGCUGCAGCGGCUUUUUUGA